Long non-coding RNA from Apis cerana (Asiatic honeybee), 6346 nucleotides. RefSeq lists it as uncharacterized. The record is from RefSeq and is a predicted model, not a curated record. NCBI's taxonomy places the organism in Eukaryota, Metazoa, Arthropoda, Insecta, Hymenoptera, Apidae.
AUGAUGUAUUUAUAAUUAAAUAAUGAAUAUUUAUAAUAUAUAUAUUCGAUUUUCGCGCGUAAAAUUAAAAUGAAUAAAAAUAAAUUGAAGUAAACCACAUCGCUUCAACUAAUCAAAAAGGCCCAGUAACGAAACGAGUCAGUGCGCAUCAUAGUGCGCAUCAUAAUGCGCAUGGCAGUAGUUCAUAGUUGAAAAUCGUGGUAACGGCUGGUCACGUUUUGUUCUGAAGUGCGAAAUACUUAAAAUUCUUACCGAUAGGAUAUGAUAUUAUAAUUAUUAUUUAUAUUUAACAAUAAGUUUUAAUAAGUUUUGUAUAAUAUGCAUUUGUUUAAUCAUUAUUAUAGCAGAAUUGAAGAUUUUUGAUGAAGAUGACGAAGGUAAUAUAAAGAUAUAAAGAUCAAUUAUCAUUUCAUUGGAACUUCGAAGACAAGAUGGCUUGAAAAAUAAAAUUGGUGGUUCGUUAUUGUAUUAUAUUCUGUAUGUUCAAUUUGUCAGAUUGUUGUUGAGCAUAUUCUCUUUCUGUUUUGAAAUUCGAUACAUCGAAUUAGUUACGCUAAAUUUCAUUCUACUGUUGACAUUCGUGACGAUUAGAAUUUCUUCAAGUGUGCUUUAUCUAUUUGGUUGGAAAAAAUUUUCAAUAUGGAUGUCAUGAUAUAUUUUACAUAAAGAAAAAAAAAAUAUAAAUAAAUAUUUAAAAUAUAAAUAAUAUAAAUAAAUAAAUAUUUUUAUUGUAAAAAAUGAUGAUAUAAAAGGAAAAGAAUGAGGAAUAGAAAGAGGAUGUUAGAGCACGGAUGAGUCGAAGAAGAGUCUGACCACAUAUAGAAGGAAGAUAUUGGCUAUAUGCAUGAAUACAGUGUGUCUUCUUUGAGACAAGGCAAACAAUCAACGAUGACAAACAAUCAUAAAGGGAAUAAGAAUUCAAUUUUCUUCAGACUUCAGCCAGAAUUGAAGAUUUUUGAUGAAGAUGACGAAGGUAAUAUAAAGAUAUAAAGAUCAAUUAUCAUUUCAUUGGAACUUCGAAGACAAGAUGGCUUGAAAAAUAAAAUUGGUGGUUCGUUAUUGUAUUAUAUUCUGUAUGUUCAAUUUGUCGAAUUGUUGUUGAGCAUAUUCUCUUUCUGUUUUGAAAUUCGAUACAUCGAAUUAGUUACGCUAAAUUUCAUUCUACUGUUGACAUUCGUGACGAUUAGAAUUUCUUCAAGUGUGCUUUAUCUAUUUGGUUGGAAAAAAUUUUCAAUAUGGAUGUCAUGAUAUAUUUUACAUAAAGAAAAAAAAAAUAUAAAUAAAUAUUUAAAAUAUAAAUAAUAUAAAUAAAUAAAUAUUUUAUUGUAAAAAAUGAUGAUAUAAAAGGAAAAGAAUGAGGAAUAGAAAGAGGAUGUUAGAGCACGGAUGAGUCGAAGAAGAGUCUGACCACAUAUAGAAGAAAAGAUAUUGGCUAUAUGCAUGAAUACAGUGUGUCUUCUUUGAGACAAGGCAAACAAUCAACGAUGACAAACAAUCAUAAAGGGAAUAAGAAUUCAAUUUUCUUCAGACUUCAGCCAGAAUUGAAGAUUUUUGAUGAAGAUGACGAAGGUAAUAUAAAGAUAUAAAGAUCAAUUAUCAUUUCAUUGGAACUUCGAAGACAAGAUGGCUUGAAAAAUAAAAUUGGUGGUUCGUUAUUGUAUUAUAUUCUGUAUGUUCAAUUUGUCGAAUUGUUGUUGAGCAUAUUCUCUUUCUGUUUUGAAAUUCGAUACAUCGAAUUAGUUACGCUAAAUUUCAUUCUACUGUUGACAUUCGUGACGAUUAGAAUUUCUUCAAGUGUGCUUUAUCUAUUUGGUUGGAAAAAAUUUUCAAUAUGGAUGUCAUGAUAUAUUUUACAUAAAGAAAAAAAAAAUAUAAAUAAAUAUUUAAAAUAUAAAUAAUAUAAAUAAAUAAAUAUUUUUAUUGUAAAAAAUGAUGAUAUAAAAGGAAAAGAAUGAGGAAUAGAAGAGGAUGUUAGAGCACGGAUGAGUCGAAGAAGAGUCUGACCACAUAUAGAAGAAAAGAUAUUGGCUAUAUGCAUGAAUACAGUGUGUCUUCUUUGAGACAAGGCAAACAAUCAACGAUGACAAACAAUCAUAAAGGGAAUAAGAAUUCAAUUUUCUUCAGACUUCAGCGUGAGUAUCAGAUAUGCAUUCACAAUCACAUUUGCAUAUAUAAUACAAUAUUUAUAUAAUCUAUUAUAAAAUAUAACUUAUGAUCAUUCUUUCUUAAUUUAAUUUAAUUAUGAUUUUAAUUUUUAUAUAGUUUUUAUAUUUACACGAAGUACAUAAUAGACGUGAUAUAUGAAAAUCCUUUUUCAUAUUUUAGAAAUUCAAAACCUUAAUUAUUUUCGUAUUUUUAGAUUUUUUUUUUCUUUAUUUUAGAUUUUAAUUUCGUAUUUUUUAGAUUUUAGAUUUUUGUAUUAAGAUCUAGACUAAAAUAUUUAAAAAUUUUAUGAUUGAGUAAUGUUGAAUGAUGUGAAACUUAACUUUAUUUUUAAUGUAAAUGAUAUGGGUGAUUUUUUAAAAUGAUCUAUGUAUGGUAUAAGAAUAAAAAAUUGAAAUUAAUAUAAAAAUUUAUAUACUUUAUUGUAUAUUUUAUUUAUUUUAUAUAAUUUUUAUAUUAAUAUUAAAUUAUAUUAAUAUUUAUAUAAAAUUUUUAAUUUAUUUUUCGGCAUCUUUCUAAUUUAACAUUUAUCUUCUAUUAUGUACAAGAAUUCUCUUUAUUCUUUUUCUGUUAUACUUUGUAAUUUAGAUAUACUUUACAUUAACUUCUGUUUCAUAAUAUAUUUUUUUCAAAUUUUCAAUUUUUACUUUAAAUGUUUAAUUUUACAAAUGGAUAAUUUUUAUAAUAAAUUAAAUUAAAUAAUUUAUUUUUAUUAUAUUUUCAAUUGACAUAUGUUUGUAAGAUUAUGAUGUAUUUAUAAUUAAAUAAUGAAUAUUUAUAAUAUAUAUAUUCGAUUUUCGCGCGUAAAAUUAAAAUGAAUAAAAAUAAAUUGAAGUAAACCACAUCGCUUCAACUAAUCAAAAAGGCCCAGUAACGAAACGAGUCAGUGCGCAUCAUAGUGCGCAUCAUAAUGCGCAUGGCAGUAGUUCAUAGUUGAAAAUCGUGGUAACGGCUGGUCACGUUUUGUUCUGAAGUGCGAAAUACUUAAAAUUCUUACCGAUAGGAUAUGAUAUUAUAAUUAUUAUUUAUAUUUAACAAUAAGUUUUAAUAAGUUUUGUAUAAUAUGCAUUUGUUUAAUCAUUAUUAUAGCAGAAUUGAAGAUUUUUGAUGAAGAUGACGAAGGUAAUAUAAAGAUAUAAAGAUCAAUUAUCAUUUCAUUGGAACUUCGAAGACAAGAUGGCUUGAAAAAUAAAAUUGGUGGUUCGUUAUUGUAUUAUAUUCUGUAUGUUCAAUUUGUCGAAUUGUUGUUGAGCAUAUUCUCUUUCUGUUUUGAAAUUCGAUACAUCGAAUUAGUUACGCUAAAUUUCAUUCUACUGUUGACAUUCGUGACGAUUAGAAUUUCUUCAAGUGUGCUUUAUCUAUUUGGUUGGAAAAAAUUUUCAAUAUGGAUGUCAUGAUAUAUUUUACAUAAAGAAAAAAAAAAUAUAAAUAAAUAUUUAAAAUAUAAAUAAUAUAAAUAAAUAAAUAUUUUUAUUGUAAAAAAUGAUGAUAUAAAAGGAAAAGAAUGAGGAAUAGAAAGAGGAUGUUAGAGCACGGAUGAGUCGAAGAAGAGUCUGACCACAUAUAGAAGAAAAGAUAUUGGCUAUAUGCAUGAAUACAGUGUGUCUUCUUUGAGACAAGGCAAACAAUCAACGAUGACAAACAAUCAUAAAGGGAAUAAGAAUUCAAUUUUCUUCAGACUUCAGCCAGAAUUGAAGAUUUUUGAUGAAGAUGACGAAGGUAAUAUAAAGAUAUAAAGAUCAAUUAUCAUUUCAUUGGAACUUCGAAGACAAGAUGGCUUGAAAAAUAUGAUAUAAAAGGAAAAGAAUGAGGAAUAGAAAGAGGAUGUUAGAGCACGGAUGAGUCGAAGAAGAGUCUGACCACAUAUAGAAGAAAAGAUAUUGGCUAUAUGCAUGAAUACAGUGUGUCUUCUUUGAGACAAGGCAAACAAUCAACGAUGACAAACAAUCAUAAAGGGAAUAAGAAUUCAAUUUUCUUCAGACUUCAGCCAGAAUUGAAGAUUUUUGAUGAAGAUGACGAAGGUAAUAUAAAGAUAUAAAGAUCAAUUAUCAUUUCAUUGGAACUUCGAAGACAAGAUGGCUUGAAAAAUAAAAUUGGUGGUUCGUUAUUGUAUUAUAUUCUGUAUGUUCAAUUUGUCGAAUUGUUGUUGAGCAUAUUCUCUUUCUGUUUUGAAAUUCGAUACAUCGAAUUAGUUACGCUAAAUUUCAUUCUACUGUUGACAUUCGUGACGAUUAGAAUUUCUUCAAGUGUGCUUUAUCUAUUUGGUUGGAAAAAAUUUUCAAUAUGGAUGUCAUGAUAUAUUUUACAUAAAGAAAAAAAAAAUAUAAAUAAAUAUUUAAAAUAUAAAUAAUAUAAAUAAAUAAAUAUUUUUAUUGUAAAAAAUGAUGAUAUAAAAGGAAAAGAAUGAGGAAUAGAAAGAGGAUGUUAGAGCACGGAUGAGUCGAAGAAGAGUCUGACCACAUAUAGAAGAAAAGAUAUUGGCUAUAUGCAUGAAUACAGUGUGUCUUCUUUGAGACAAGGCAAACAAUCAACGAUGACAAACAAUCAUAAAGGGAAUAAGAAUUCAAUUUUCUUCAGACUUCAGCCAGAAUUGAAGAUUUUUGAUGAAGAUGACGAAGGUAAUAUAAAGAUAUAAAGAUCAAUUAUCAUUUCAUUGGAACUUCGAAGACAAGAUGGCUUGAAAAAUAUGAUAUAAAAGGAAAAGAAUGAGGAAUAGAAAGAGGAUGUUAGAGCACGGAUGAGUCGAAGAAGAGUCUGACCACAUAUAGAAGAAAAGAUAUUGGCUAUAUGCAUGAAUACAGUGUGUCUUCUUUGAGACAAGGCAAACAAUCAACGAUGACAAACAAUCAUAAAGGGAAUAAGAAUUCAAUUUUCUUCAGACUUCAGCCAGAAUUGAAGAUUUUUGAUGAAGAUGACGAAGGUAAUAUAAAGAUAUAAAGAUCAAUUAUCAUUUCAUUGGAACUUCGAAGACAAGAUGGCUUGAAAAAUAUGAUAUAAAAGGAAAAGAAUGAGGAAUAGAAAGAGGAUGUUAGAGCACGGAUGAGUCGAAGAAGAGUCUGACCACAUAUAGAAGAAAAGAUAUUGGCUAUAUGCAUGAAUACAGUGUGUCUUCUUUGAGACAAGGCAAACAAUCAACGAUGACAAACAAUCAUAAAGGGAAUAAGAAUUCAAUUUUCUUCAGACUUCAGCCAGAAUUGAAGAUUUUUGAUGAAGAUGACGAAGGUAAUAUAAAGAUAUAAAGAUCAAUUAUCAUUUCAUUGGAACUUCGAAGACAAGAUGGCUUGAAAAAUAUGAUAUAAAAGGAAAAGAAUGAGGAAUAGAAAGAGGAUGUUAGAGCACGGAUGAGUCGAAGAAGAGUCUGACCACAUAUAGAAGAAAAGAUAUUGGCUAUAUGCAUGAAUACAGUGUGUCUUCUUUGAGACAAGGCAAACAAUCAACGAUGACAAACAAUCAUAAAGGGAAUAAGAAUUCAAUUUUCUUCAGACUUCAGCCAGAAUUGAAGAUUUUUGAUGAAGAUGACGAAGGUAAUAUAAAGAUAUAAAGAUCAAUUAUCAUUUCAUUGGAACUUCGAAGACAAGAUGGCUUGAAAAAUAUGAUAUAAAAGGAAAAGAAUGAGGAAUAGAAAGAGGAUGUUAGAGCACGGAUGAGUCGAAGAAGAGUCUGACCACAUAUAGAAGAAAAGAUAUUGGCUAUAUGCAUGAAUACAGUGUGUCUUCUUUGAGACAAGGCAAACAAUCAACGAUGACAAACAAUCAUAAAGGGAAUAAGAAUUCAAUUUUCUUCAGACUUCAGCAAUUGAAGAUUUUUGAUGAAGAUGACGAAGGUAAUAUAAAGAUAUAAAGAUCAAUUAUCAUUUCAUUGGAACUUCGAAGACAAGAUGGCUUGAAAAAUAAAAUUGGUGGUUCGUUAUUGUAUUAUAUUCUGUAUGUUCAAUUUGUCGAAUUGUUGUUGAGCAUAUUCUCUUUCUGUUUUGAAAUUCGAUACAUCGAAUUAGUUACGCUAAAUUUCAUUCUACUGUUGACAUUCGUGACGAUUAGAAUUUCUUCAAGUGUGCUUUAUCUAUUUGGUUGGAAAAAAUUUUCAAUAUGGAUGUCAUGAUAUAUUUUACAUAAAGAAAAAAAAAAUAUAAAUAAAUAUUUAAAAUAUAAAUAAUAUAAAUAAAUAAAUAUUUUUAUUGUAAAAA